RNAcentral lists this ribosomal RNA (206 nucleotides) under uncultured bacterium. Its description in RNAcentral is "partial 16S ribosomal RNA". It matches the Rfam family "Bacterial small subunit ribosomal RNA", at positions 568 to 774 of the family's 1533-position model. The record is from RNAcentral.
CACGCAGGCGGGUGCGCGCGUGGGGUGUGAAAUCUGGCCGCUUAACGGCCAGGCGCCAUCCCAUACGGCGCGCCUGGAGCCUUGCAGAGGGCGGUGGAAUUGCCGGUGUAGUGGUGAAAUGCGUAGAGAUCGGCAGGAACACCCAGGGGAAACCAGCCGCCUGGGCAAGCGCUGACGCUGAGGUGCGAGAGCGUGGGGAGCGAACC